AUUGAACGCUGGCGGCAGGCCUAACACAUGCAAGUCGAGCGGUAGCACAGAGAGCUUGCUCUCGGGUGACGAGCGGCGGACGGGUGAGUAAUGUCUGGGAAACUGCCUGAUGGAGGGGGAUAACUACUGGAAACGGUAGCUAAUACCGCAUAACGUCGCAAGACCAAAGUGGGGGACCUUCGGGCCUCAUGCCAUCAGAUGUGCCCAGAUGGGAUUAGCUAGUAGGUGGGGUAAUGGCUCACCUAGGCGACGAUCCCUAGCUGGUCUGAGAGGAUGACCAGCCACACUGGAACUGAGACACGGUCCAGACUCCUACGGGAGGCAGCAGUGGGGAAUAUUGCACAAUGGGCGCAAGCCUGAUGCAGCCAUGCCGCGUGUGUGAAGAAGGCCUUCGGGUUGUAGAGCACUUUCAGCGGGGAGGAAGGCGAUAAGGUUAAUAACCUCAUCGAUUGACGUUACCCGCAGAAGAAGCACCGGCUAACUCCGUGCCAGCAGCCGCGGUAAUACGGAGGGUGCAAGCGUUAAUCGGAAUUACUGGGCGUAAAGCGCACGCAGGCGGUCUGUCAAGUCGGAUGUGAAAUCCCCGGGCUCAACCUGGGAACUGCAUUCGAAACUGGCAGGCUAGAGUCUUGUAGGGGGGGGUAGAAUUCCAGGUGUAGCGGUGAAAUGCGUAGAGAUCUGGAGGAAUACCGGUGGCGAAGGCGGCCCCCUGGACAAAGACUGACGCUCAGGUGCGAAAGCGUGGGGAGCAAACAGGAUUAGAUACCCUGGUAGUCCACGCCGUAAACGAUGUCGAUUUGGAGGUUGUGCCCUUGAGGCGUGGCUUCCGGAGCUAACGCGUUAAAUCGACCGCCUGGGGAGUACGGCCGCAAGGUUAAAACUCAAAUGAAUUGACGGGGGCCCGCACAAGCGGUGGAGCAUGUGGUUUAAUUCGAUGCAACGCGAAGAACCUUACCUGGUCUUGACAUCCACAGAACUUUCCAGAGAUGGAUUGGUGCCUUCGGGAACUGUGAGACAGGUGCUGCAUGGCUGUCGUCAGCUCGUGUUGUGAAAUGUUGGGUUAAGUCCCGCAACGAGCGCAACCCUUAUCCUUUGUUGCCAGCGGUCCGGCCGGGAACUCAAAGGAGACUGCCAGUGAUAAACUGGAGGAAGGUGGGGAUGACGUCAAGUCAUCAUGGCCCUUACGACCAGGGCUACACACGUGCUACAAUGGCAUAUACAAAGAGAAGCGACCUCGCGAGAGCAAGCGGACCUCAUAAAGUAUGUCGUAGUCCGGAUUGGAGUCUGCAACUCGACUCCGUGAAGUCGGAAUCGCUAGUAAUCGUAGAUCAGAAUGCUACGGUGAAUACGUUCCCGGGCCU
RNAcentral lists this ribosomal RNA (1361 nucleotides) under uncultured bacterium. RNAcentral's name for it is "bacterial SSU rRNA". It matches the Rfam family "Bacterial small subunit ribosomal RNA", at positions 28 to 1381 of the family's 1533-position model. The record is from RNAcentral.